AGCAGCCGCGGUAAUUCCAGCUCCAAUAGCGUAUAUUAAAGUUGUUGCAGUUAAAAGCUCGUAGUUGAAUUUCGGGAUCAGUUGGUCGGUCGUGCCUCGGUACGUACUGGUCAAAUUGAUUCCUACCUUCUGACGAACCACGAUGUCAUUAAUUUGGUGUCGCGGGAAAUCAGGACUGUUACUUUGAAAAAUUAGAGUGUUUAAAGCGGGCUCGCGCUUGAAUACAUUAGCAUGGAAUAAUGAAAUAGGACGUUUGAUUCUAUUUUGUUGGUUUCUAGGAUCGACGUAAUGAUUAAUAGGGAUAGUUGGGGGCAUUAGUAUUCAAUUGUCAGAGGUGAAAUUCUUGGAUUUAUUGAAGACUAACUACUGCGAAAGCAUUUGCCAAGGAUGUUUUCAUUAAUCAAGAACGAAAGUUAGGGAUCGAAGACGAUCAGAUACCGUCGUAGUCUUAACCAUAAACUAUGCCGACUAGGGAUCGGAUGAUGUUAAUUUUUAAUGUACUCAUUCGGCGCCUUACGGG
This 520-nucleotide unclassified non-coding RNA is filed under the name uncultured Glomus. Its description in RNAcentral is "SSU rRNA". It matches the Rfam family "Eukaryotic small subunit ribosomal RNA", at positions 569 to 1094 of the family's 1831-position model. Lineage: Eukaryota; Fungi; Glomeromycota; Glomeromycetes; Glomerales; Glomeraceae. The record is from RNAcentral.